GAAAUAGCUCAGCUGGUAGAGCAUUGGCUUCCCAAGCCUUGUUUUACAAGGGUUUUUGACAACAACCCAAAUUAGAUUCACAACCUAAAACUUGUAAACAUUCACCA
RNAcentral lists this transfer RNA (107 nucleotides) under Synergistaceae bacterium OttesenSCG-928-I11. RNAcentral's name for it is "tRNA-Gly". The record is from RNAcentral. Lineage: Bacteria; Thermotogati; Synergistota; Synergistia; Synergistales; Synergistaceae.